RNAcentral lists this long non-coding RNA (199 nucleotides) under Ananas comosus (pineapple). Its description in RNAcentral is "long non-coding RNA (ACOM_LNC022206)". The record is from RNAcentral. Lineage: Eukaryota; Viridiplantae; Streptophyta; Magnoliopsida; Poales; Bromeliaceae.
AAAAAUUAAGCUAUUGAUUAUAUAAUGUCGAGAAUUUCAAUCGGCUCGUUUAGAGCUCGAGCUCGGCUCGACUCGAAAUUAGGCUCGCUCGAGCUCGGCUCGAAUUAAUUUCAAGCCGAGCUUGAGCCUAAAUUUAGGCUCGAAAUUAAUUUCAAGCCGAAUUUGAGCUGACAUAAGCUCGCUCGAGCUCGGCUCGUUU